This 1143-nucleotide long non-coding RNA is filed under the name Marmota monax (woodchuck). Lineage: Eukaryota; Metazoa; Chordata; Mammalia; Rodentia; Sciuridae. The record is from RNAcentral.
GAUUUAUAAUGCCAUAAACAUCUGCAGGUGAAUUAAUCUUAUUUAUAAAAAUCCUAAGAUAGCCACUAAAAGCUAUUAAAAUUAAUAAAAAGCUAGUAAAGUUUUAUAAAAUAUUAAUAUACAAAAGUCAGUUUUAUUUCUCUAGUGGUAAUGGUCAAAUCAAUAAUGAAAUAUUUAAAGCAACUACAAUAGCAACUAAAAGAGUUCUAAAAACUGAGGAAUAAGUUUUACCUAGGAAGUGUAAUAUUUGUACACCAAAAACUACAAAACUUUGUUGAAAGAUAUUUAAGAACAUUUAAAUUAAUGGAAAGAUACCCUGUGUUCAUGGAUUGGAAGAGUUCAUAUUAAGAUAUCAAUACCAGCAAAAUUAUUUUCAUCUAUAGAUCUAAUACACAAUUCUUACCAAAUUCCUGCUGCCUUUUUGUAGAAAUUUGCAAGGUACUCUUAAAAUUUACAUGGAAGGGGCUGGGGUUGUGGCUCAGUGAUAGAGCCUCACCUAGCACAUGCAAGGUGCUGGCUUCAAUCCUCAGCACCACAUAAAAAUAAAUAAAUACAAUAAAGGUAAAAAAAAUUACAUGGAAAUGCAAGAGAUCCACAAUAUCCAAAAUAAAAAGUCCAAUUGGAAUAAUCAUAUUAUCCAGUUUCACUGUAAUUCAUACUCUAUGGUACUGAUUUAGGGGAGACAUAAAUAUGAAUGUAAUAGAGUUGAGGGUCCAGAAGUAAAUACUUACAUAUAUUGAAUAUUGGUAAGGUGAUGAGAGCCAUGCAGUGGGGUAAGAAUUGUCUUUCCAAAAAAUAGUGUUGGCACAAUUGGUUAGGCACAUGCAAAAAAUUAAUUUGCCAGGUGCGGUGGCACAUGCCUGUAAUCCCAGCGGCUCUGGAGGCUAAGGCAGGAAGAUUGUGAAUUCAAGCCAGCCUCAGCAAAAAAAGCAAUACACUAAGCAAUUCAGUGAGACCCGUCUCUAAAUAAAAUACAAAAUGGGGCUGGGGAUGUGGCUUAGUAGUUGAGUGCACCUGAAUUCAAUCCCCAGUACCCCUGCCCCGGAAAAAGAAUUAAUCUGACUUCCUAUCUCAUACCAUAUAUAAAAAUUAACUCCAGGUCAGGCAUGGUGGCACAUAUCUGUAAUCCCAACUACUCAGGAG